Molecule: ribosomal RNA, 630 nt
Filed under: uncultured eukaryote
Lineage: Eukaryota
Description: SSU rRNA
Rfam family: Eukaryotic small subunit ribosomal RNA
Source: RNAcentral
UUGUUGCAGUUAAAAAGCUCGUAGUUGGACCUUGGGCAGGAGGCACGGGUUGGCCGAAUGGCUCGACUCGGGUCUCCGGCCUCUAUGGGUGGUCGUGCCUUUGGUACGGUUCGCCCGGGUUACUGUGAAGAAAUUAGAGUGUUUAAAGCAGGCGAUUGCUUGGAUACAUCAGCAUGGAAUAACAAGAUAGGACCUGGUUCCACUUGUUGGUUUGGGGGCUUUGGUAAUGAUUAAUAGGGCCAGUUGGGGGCAUUAGUAUUCAGUAGUCAGAGGUGAAAUUCUUGAAUUUACUGAAGACUAACUAGUGCGAAAGCAUUUGCCAAGGAUGUUUUCAUUAAUCAAGAACGAAAGUUAGGGGAUCGAAGACGAUCAGAUACCGUCGUAGUCUUAACUAUAAACGAUGCCGACUCGGGAUCGGCAGACGUCGUUAGCGACACUGUCGGCACCGUGUGAGAAAUCAAAGUUUUUGGGUUCUGGGGGGAGUAUGGUCGCAAGGCUGAAACUUAAAGGAAUUGACGGAAGGGCACCACCAGGAGUGGAGCCUGCGGCUUAAUUUGACUCAACACGGGAAAACUCACCAGGUCCGGACAUAGUAAGGAUUGACAGAUUGAGAGCUCUUUCUUGAUUCUG